Non-coding RNA from Brachypodium distachyon (stiff brome), 125 nucleotides. The record is from Rfam. NCBI's taxonomy places the organism in Eukaryota, Viridiplantae, Streptophyta, Magnoliopsida, Poales, Poaceae.
AAGCUACUCCCUCCGAUUCAUAUUACUUGUCUCAAAAAUGCGCAAAUAUGGAUGUAUCUAUGUUUAAAAAGCGUCUAGAUAUAUGUAAUAUUUCGACAAGUAAUAUGAAUCGGAGGGAGUAAAAC